UAAUGUAUGGGGAUCUGCCCGAUAGAGGGGAAUAACUACUGGAAACGGUGGCUAAUACCGCAUAAUGUCUACGGACCAAAGCAGGGGCUCUUCGGACCUUGCACUAUCGGAUGAACCCAUAUGGGAUUAGCUAGUAGGUGGGGUAAGGGCUCACCUAGGCGACGAUCUCUAGCUGGUCUGAGAGGAUGAUCAGCCACACUGGGACUGAGACACGGCCCAG
This 220-nucleotide ribosomal RNA is filed under the name uncultured bacterium. Its description in RNAcentral is "partial 16S ribosomal RNA". It matches the Rfam family "Bacterial small subunit ribosomal RNA", at positions 111 to 334 of the family's 1533-position model. The record is from RNAcentral.